AUGAACCUUCGGGGCAGGGUGAAAUUCCCUACCGGCGGUGAUAAUUGCCCGUGCAAUUUAGCCCGCGACUCGGUGCAGUCUCAAACGAUGCAUCGACUGACUUGGUGAGAUUCCAAGGCCGACGGUAAAGUCCGGACGAGAGAAGGUAAAA
This is a non-coding RNA of Desulfosporosinus acidiphilus SJ4, 151 nucleotides long. Lineage: Bacteria; Bacillati; Bacillota; Clostridia; Eubacteriales; Desulfitobacteriaceae. The record is from Rfam.